Molecule: ribosomal RNA, 588 nt
Filed under: uncultured bacterium
Lineage: Bacteria
Description: bacterial SSU rRNA
Rfam family: Bacterial small subunit ribosomal RNA
Source: RNAcentral
CCUACGGGAGGCAGCAGUGGGGAAUUUUUCGCAAUGGGGGCAACCCUGACGAAGCAAUGCCGCGUGGAUGAAGAAGGCCUUCGGGUUGUAAAGUCCUUUCGUGGGGGACGAAAAGGCGGAUCCGAAUACGGUCUGCUAUUGACGUGAACCCAAGAAGAAGCACCGGCUAACUCCGUGCCAGCAGCCGCGGUAAUACGGAGGGUGCGAGCGUUAAUCGGAAUUACUGGGCGUAAAGGGCGCUUAGGCGGUGGGUUACGUCUGCCGUGAAAUCCCCGGGCUCAACCUGGGAAUGGCGGUGGAAACGGGCUGACUGGAGUAUGGGAGAGGGUGAUGGAAUUCCAGGUGUAGCGGUGAAAUGCGUAGAGAUCUGGAGGAACACCAGUGGCGAAGGCGGUCACCUGGCCCAAUACUGACGCUGAGGCGCGAAAGCGUGGGGAGCAAACAGGAUUAGAUACCCUGGUAGUCCACGCCCUAAACGAUGGAUACUGGAUGUUUGGCGCCUUAGGUGCUGAGUGUCGUAGCUAACGCGAUAAGUAUCCCGCCUGGGAAGUACGGCCGCAAGGUUAAAACUCAAAGGAAUUGACGGGG